Molecule: transfer RNA, 74 nt
Filed under: Caudoviricetes sp.
Lineage: Duplodnaviria; Heunggongvirae; Uroviricota; Caudoviricetes
Description: tRNA-Ile
Rfam family: tRNA
About the family: Transfer RNA (tRNA) molecules are approximately 80 nucleotides in length.
Source: RNAcentral
UGACAGUUAGUUCAGCAGGUUAGAGCAUCCGUCUGAUACGCGGAAGGUCGCAGGUUCGAGUCCUGCACUGUCAA